Molecule: long non-coding RNA, 486 nt
Filed under: Fukomys damarensis (Damara mole-rat)
Lineage: Eukaryota; Metazoa; Chordata; Mammalia; Rodentia; Bathyergidae
Description: lncRNA (ENSFDAG00000025045.1)
Source: RNAcentral
CUCAGCAUGUGGCUUUUGAUGGACCUGUUGGUCCUUUCCUCUGGCCUGGACCAUAACAUCCCAAGAGGUUAGUGCUGCCUUGCCCGACAUGUUCAGCAUCCUGCUGAUAGCACCGAAGCUGCCAGACCUACGGGACAUCACCAGGCAAAGAAAGGGAGGAGCAGAGCUCUGGCAAAGGACAUGGCUCUUGCCAAGGCCUGGUGGUCGGAUGGAGCAGGAAGCACAGCUGGCACAGAGAGGAGCUCCUGCAGCUAGCAUGGGAGUGAAGCACAGGGGAGGGUGCCAGAGCCCAAAGUCACGUGGUACAAGGUCUGGUGAGGAAAGUGGACGAGGACACGUGGAAUGUUUUCGUGGCCGACAUUACGUCGUGACAUCCACUGCGUUUUUUACUCACACCUCGUAAAGACAGUCAGGAAGCCUUCCAGAGCUGCCUCAGAAAGUGGGAAGAAAGAUGGGGUAAGUGCUUUUGAGAGAGAUUAAUGACAA